AUAUGUAUGUGUGCAGGCACAUGUGUACACGUGUGCACACACACACUCACACACACACACACACACACACUCUCAGAUACACACA
This 85-nucleotide microRNA precursor is filed under the name Vicugna pacos (alpaca). Its description in RNAcentral is "miRNA (ENSVPAG00000016965.1)". The record is from RNAcentral. Lineage: Eukaryota; Metazoa; Chordata; Mammalia; Artiodactyla; Camelidae.